Molecule: long non-coding RNA, 441 nt
Organism: Cebus imitator (Panamanian white-faced capuchin)
Lineage: Eukaryota; Metazoa; Chordata; Mammalia; Primates; Cebidae
Exons: 2
Source: RefSeq, a predicted model, not a curated record
UGCGCGGCAAUGGCUGCCCACGAUUGUCCGAGAGGCGGAGCGCUCGGUCUUUUUUAGGGCCGGGUCUCCAGACGCCGCCGGUGGUGCCUCGAGGCCCCGUUGCACGCAUCCGCUGCCGCAGCCGCAUCAGAACUUCAUUUCGGUGACGCUGAGCUUUGGCCAGAGCUACGGCAACCGCGAGAGCUGCCAGCGGCGCUGGUGCUGGAGGGCUGGAGUGCAGUGGCAAUCAUGGCUCACUGCAGCCUCGACCUCUUGGCUUCCAGCGUGCGUCUAAUCUCGAACCAAAUCCUCCUGCCUUAGAUCAUCCCCCAAAUCACCCAGCUACAGGUGAAAUCCUGUGAUAGUUUCCUCCAUCACCCCGUUGCCGAGACACCUCAGCGUCCCAGCCCGGUGUGUUUGUACACGCUGCAUAGAGUAAAAGACCCAACUUGUUUAACUCUG